CUACUUAGAAAAAUGAUAGCAAGAAUCUUAAAUAUGUGAAAACAAAAAUGUUUUUCCUUGAGGUAUUAAGAUGGUGAAUCAUUGGAAAGAUGGAAAGAUAUGAGUCACAACCUAAAGUUUUUUCCCUUGGUACUUAGAAGACUACAUUUCCCAGAAAUAUCCACAAGGAACUUCACCCCACAAAAAGAGAGAGGACCUCUAUCCCCAUUACUCCCAUCUGGGAUGGUGUUAAGAAUCUCUCCUCAGCAACAUAAAGCGUUUGAUUGAGAAGAAGAGAACCAAUGUUUAGUUACAACAUAAAUUGUAACAAAUGCAGGUGCAAUUGUGGGGAGAAGGCAGCAAAACAGAACAGAGUAAAUAAAGCUACAAGCUCC
This is a long non-coding RNA of Physeter macrocephalus (sperm whale), 374 nucleotides long. RefSeq lists it as uncharacterized. The transcript has 3 exons. NCBI's taxonomy places the organism in Eukaryota, Metazoa, Chordata, Mammalia, Artiodactyla, Physeteridae. The record is from RefSeq and is a predicted model, not a curated record.